This 493-nucleotide ribosomal RNA is filed under the name uncultured bacterium. RNAcentral's name for it is "partial 16S ribosomal RNA". It matches the Rfam family "Bacterial small subunit ribosomal RNA", at positions 30 to 523 of the family's 1533-position model. The record is from RNAcentral.
AUUGAACGCUGGCGGCAUGCUUUACACAUGCAAGUCGAACGGUAACAGGUUAAGCUGACGAGUGGCGAACGGGUGAGUAAUGCAUCGGAACGUGCCCGGUCAUGGGGGAUAACGCAGCGAAAGCUGCGCUAAUACCGCAUACGAUCUGAGGAUGAAAGCGGGGGACCGUAAGGCCUCGCGCGAUCGGAGCGGCCGAUGUCAGAUUAGGUAGUUGGUGGGGUAAAGGCUCACCAAGCCGACGAUCUGUAGCUGGUCUGAGAGGACGACCAGCCACACUGGGACUGAGACACGGCCCAGACUCCUACGGGAGGCAGCAGUGGGGAAUUUUGGACAAUGGGCGCAAGCCUGAUCCAGCAAUGCCGCGUGCAGGAAGAAGGCCUUCGGGUUGUAAACUGCUUUUGUACGGAGCGAAAAGGUCUCCUCUAAUACAGGGGGCUCAUGACGGUACCGUAAGAAUAAGCACCGGCUAACUACGUGCCAGCAGCCGCAGUAA